CGCAUCUGUGCAUGCAGCAUAUCAAUAAGCGGAGGAAAAGAAACUAACAAGGAUUCCCCUAGUAACGGCGAGUGAAGCGGGAAGAGCUCAAAUUUGAAAUCUUAAAGGGUUUCCCUUUACGAAUUGUAGUUUAAAGAAGUGCUUUCUGUUGAGGUUUUGGUAAAAGUUCUUUGGAAUAGGACAUCAUAGAGGGUGAGAAUCCCGUAUUUGACCCUUACUUUCAACUUUGUGAUACACUUUCAAAGAGUCGGAUUGUUUGGGAAUGCAGUCCAAAAUGGGUGGUAAAUUUCAUCUAAAGCUAAAUAUUGGCGAGAGACCGAUAGCGAACAGGUACCGUGAGGGAAAGAUGAAAAGAACUUUGAAAAGAGAGUUAAACAGUACGUGAAAUUGUCAAAAGGGAAGCGUUUGACACCAGUGUUGUUUUUCUGAAAAUCAAUUAAAGAACUGUUUAUGCUAAGUUGUUUAGACUUUAUCAGCUAUCUGCUUAGUUUUGAGCUUUUCUUUAAUGCACCUUUCAGUUAACAAGUCAACAUCAAUUUCUUUUGCUGUAAAAAAGCUUGAGGAAGGUGGCUUGAGAUUCGUCUUAAGUGUUUAUAGCCUCUUGCCUAUGCAGUCGGAGAGAUUGAGGUCUGCAGCGUAGAUCCUUCGGGGCUAAAUGCAUUUGUGCUAAGUUAUAGCAUUUUAUAGACAACUUGUUGACUAUGAUUUGUCUUGUAGCUUACUCACUUAUGUUAUUUUACCUACGCUUAGGAUGUUGAAGAUGUAGCACAUCAU
Molecule: ribosomal RNA, 774 nt
Filed under: uncultured Neocallimastigales
Lineage: Eukaryota; Fungi; Neocallimastigomycota; Neocallimastigomycetes; Neocallimastigales
Description: partial large subunit ribosomal RNA
Rfam family: Eukaryotic large subunit ribosomal RNA
Source: RNAcentral